GGUUAAGCGACUAAGCGUACACGGUGGAUGCCCUGGCAGUCAGAGGCGAUGAAGGACGUGCUAAUCUGCGAUAAGCGUCGGUAAGGUGAUAUGAACCGUUAUAACCGGCGAUUUCCGAAUGGGGAAACCCAGUGUGUUUCGACACACUAUCAUUAACUGAAUCCAUAGGUUAAUGAGGCGAACCGGGGGAACUGAAACAUCUAAGUACCCCGAGGAAAAGAAAUCAACCGAGAUUCCCCCAGUAGCGGCGAGCGAACGGGGAGCAGCCCAGAGCCUGAAUCAGUGUGUGUGUUAGUGGAAGCGUCUGGAAAGGCGCGCGAUACAGGGUGACAGCCCCGUACACAAAAAUGCACAUGCUGUGAGCUCGAUGAGUAGGGCGGGACACGUGGUAUCCUGUCUGAAUAUGGGGGGACCAUCCUCCAAGGCUAAAUACUCCUGACUGACCGAUAGUGAACCAGUACCGUGAGGGAAAGGCGAAAAGAACCCCGGCGAGGGGAGUGAAAAAGAACCUGAAACCGUGUACGUACAAGCAGUGGGAGCACGCUUAGGCGUGUGACUGCGUACCUUUUGUAUAAUGGGUCAGCGACUUAUAUUCUGUAGCAAGGUUAACCGAAUAGGGGAGCCGAAGGGAAACCGAGUCUUAACUGGGCGUUAAGUUGCAGGGUAUAGACCCGAAACCCGGUGAUCUAGCCAUGGGCAGGUUGAAGGUUGGGUAACACUAACUGGAGGACCGAACCGACUAAUGUUGAAAAAUUAGCGGAUGACUUGUGGCUGGGGGUGAAAGGCCAAUCAAACCGGGAGAUAGCUGGUUCUCCCCGAAAGCUAUUUAGGUAGCGCCUCGUGAAUUCAUCUCCGGGGGUAGAGCACUGUUUCGGCAAGGGGGUCAUCCCGACUUACCAACCCGAUGCAAACUGCGAAUACCGGAGAAUGUUAUCACGGGAGACACACGGCGGGUGCUAACGUCCGUCGUGAAGAGGGAAACAACCCAGACCGCCAGCUAAGGUCCCAAAGUCAUGGUUAAGUGGGAAACGAUGUGGGAAGGCCCAGACAGCCAGGAUGUUGGCUUAGAAGCAGCCAUCAUUUAAAGAAAGCGUAAUAGCUCACUGGUCGAGUCGGCCUGCGCGGAAGAUGUAACGGGGCUAAACCAUGCACCGAAGCUGCGGCAGCGACGCUGAUGCGUUGUUGGGUAGGGGAGCGUUCUGUAAGCCUGCGAAGGUGUGCUGUGAGGCAUGCUGGAGGUAUCAGAAGUGCGAAUGCUGACAUAAGUAACGAUAAAGCGGGUGAAAAGCCCGCUCGCCGGAAGACCAAGGGUUCCUGUCCAACGUUAAUCGGGGCAGGGUGAGUCGACCCCUAAGGCGAGGCCGAAAGGCGUAGUCGAUGGGAAACAGGUUAAUAUUCCUGUACUUGGUGUUACUGCGAAGGGGGGACGGAGAAGGCUAUGUUGGCCGGGCG
This 1452-nucleotide ribosomal RNA is filed under the name Escherichia coli. Its description in RNAcentral is "partial 23S ribosomal RNA". It matches the Rfam family "Bacterial large subunit ribosomal RNA", at positions 1 to 1497 of the family's 2925-position model. Lineage: Bacteria; Pseudomonadati; Pseudomonadota; Gammaproteobacteria; Enterobacterales; Enterobacteriaceae. The record is from RNAcentral.